GGCUCGGGCGCGGACCUUUGGGUGGGUCCGCAGGAAUGGGGCCCGCUGAGUCCGUUUCGCUUGCGGCAGCGCGGUCGAGGCCCGACGGCACGCGCG
This 96-nucleotide non-coding RNA is filed under the name unclassified sequences. Its description in RNAcentral is "Rhodo-rpoB RNA". It matches the Rfam family "Rhodo-rpoB RNA". The record is from RNAcentral.